GAGAGUAUAGCUCAGUGGUAGAGUGCCUGCUUAGUAUGCACAGGGUCCUGGGUUCAAUCCCCAGUACCUUCA
Molecule: transfer RNA, 72 nt
Filed under: Camelus bactrianus (Bactrian camel)
Lineage: Eukaryota; Metazoa; Chordata; Mammalia; Artiodactyla; Camelidae
Also listed under: 2 other names
Rfam family: tRNA
About the family: Transfer RNA (tRNA) molecules are approximately 80 nucleotides in length. Their secondary structure includes four short double-helical elements and three loops (D, anti-codon, and T loops).
Source: Rfam by way of RNAcentral